RNAcentral lists this ribosomal RNA (1211 nucleotides) under metagenome. Its description in RNAcentral is "bacterial SSU rRNA". It matches the Rfam family "Bacterial small subunit ribosomal RNA", at positions 315 to 1498 of the family's 1533-position model. The record is from RNAcentral.
AGAACUGAGACACGGUCCAGACUCCUACGGGAGGCAGCAGUCGGGAAUCUUGGACAAUGGGGGAAACCCUGAUCCAGCGACGCCGCGUGCAGGAUGAAGUCCUUCGGGAUGUAAACUGCUGUCGGGCGGGAAGAACGUCUUUUGGGCUAAUACCCCGAGAGAGUGACGGUACCGCCGAAGGAAGCACCGGCUAACUCUGUGCCAGCAGCCGCGGUAAUACAGAGGGUGCAAGCGUUGUUCGGAUUGACUGGGCGUAAAGGGCGCGUAGGUGGUUAGGUAAGUCCGAUGUGAAAUCAACAUCGCUUAACGGGUUGUCCGCAUCGGAAACUGUCUAACUUGAGUAUUGGAGAGGAUAACGGAAUUCCUGGUGUAGCGGUGGAAUGUGUAGAGAUCAGGAGGAACACCUGUGGCGAAGGCGGUUAUCUGGCCAAAUACUGACACUGAGGCGCGAAAGCUAGGGGAGCAAACGGGAUUAGAUACCCCGGUAGUCCUAGCCGUAAACGUUGGAUACUAGGUGUGGGAGGUAUCGACCCCUUCCGUGCCGCAGCAAACGCAUUAAGUAUCCCGCCUGGGGAGUACGGUCGCAAGACUGAAACUCAAAAGAAUUGACGGGGGCCCGCACAAGCGGUGGAGUAUGUGGUUCAAUUCGACGCAACGCGAAGAACCUUACCAGGGUUUGACAUGUAGGUAGUAGAAGUCUGAAAGGAUAACGAUCCUGUAGUAAUACAGGAAGCUUACACAGGUGCUGCAUGGCUGUCGUCAGCUCGUGUCGUGAGAUGUUGGGUUAAGUCCCGCAACGAGCGCAACCCUUACACUUAGUUGCCACCAGGCCGCAAGGCGCUGAGCACUCUAAGAGAACUGCCCUGUAUAACGGGGAGGAAGGUGGGGAUGACGUCAAGUCCUCAUGGCCUUUAUACCCUGGGCCACACACGUACUACAAUGGCCGGUACAACGAGUCGCCAACCCGCGAGGGGGAGCUAAUCUCUUAAAACCGGCCCCAGUUCAGAUUGGAGGCUGCAAUUCGCCUCCAUGAAGUUGGAAUCGCUAGUAAUCGCGGAUCAGCUAUGCCGCGGUGAAUACGUUCCCGGGCCUUGUACACACCGCCCGUCACAUCACGAAAGCCUGCUGUACCAGAAAUCGGUGAGUUAACCCGCAAGGGGGACAGCCGCUCAAGGUAUGGCCGGUGAUUGGGGUGAAGUCGUAACAAGGUA